Molecule: ribosomal RNA, 433 nt
Filed under: uncultured bacterium
Lineage: Bacteria
Description: partial 16S ribosomal RNA
Rfam family: Bacterial small subunit ribosomal RNA
Source: RNAcentral
AACGAACGCUGGCGGCAGGCCUAACACAUGCAAGUCGAGCGCGCCCUUCGGGGUGAGCGGCGGACGGGUGAGUAACGCGUGGGAACGUGCCCUUUUCUACGGAAUAGCCUCGGGAAACUGAGAGUAAUACCGUAUACGCCCUUUGGGUGAAAGAUUUAUCGGACAAGGAUCGGCCCGCGUUGUAUUAGGUAGUUGGUGGGGUAAUGGCCUACCAAGCCGACGAUCCAUAGCUGGUUUGAGAGGAUGAGCCGCCACACUGGGACUGAGACACGGCCCAGACUCCUACGGGAGGCAGCAGUGGGGAAUCUUAGACAAUGGGGGCAAUCAUGAUCGAGCCAUGCCGCGUGAGUGAUGAAGGCCUUAGGGUUGUAAAGCUCUUUCAGCUGGGAAGAUAAUGACGGUACCAGCAGAAGAAGCCCCGGCUAACUCCGUG